RNAcentral lists this small nuclear RNA (290 nucleotides) under Anolis carolinensis (green anole). Its description in RNAcentral is "7SK RNA". It matches the Rfam family "7SK RNA". Rfam says of the family: 7SK was discovered as an abundant small nuclear RNA in the mid-70s but a possible function has only recently been suggested. The record is from Rfam by way of RNAcentral. Lineage: Eukaryota; Metazoa; Chordata; Lepidosauria; Squamata; Anolidae.
GGACCUGUAUGGGUUUAUAUUUGACUGUAACAUCUGUCACCUCAUUGAUCACCAGGGUUGAUUCGGCUGAUCUGGCUGGCUAGGCAAGUGUCCCCUUCCUCCCUCACUGCUCCAUAUGUGUCCCUCCCGAAGUGCGCACUUGGUGGAAGAGGAUGACGUCCCAGGUAUAGAAUGAAUGUACCAAGAUCUCCAGUCUUGGGUCCCAGGUAUAUGAUAGCUGCACUUCACUGCUAGAACCAGUAUUGGUUCAUGAACCACUACAUUGAGUAGCACUACAUCAAGAGAAUGCU